CUAGCUGGAGUUUGUAGAUCUCUUUUUCCCUGUUACUGCAAAGAGGAUGACAGCCUCAGUGAUCUCUGGUCUUUGGUUUACUCUAUUCAGACACGAAAUUCUAGAGAAAGAAUCUACGUGGGUUCCAGUGGGUCAAAAGUCUACCAUUAUGUGAUACAGCUGUGACCAAGGGUACAGAAUCCUGUAGCACAGAUAGAGCCUUUGGAGAUCCACCCCUGUGCCAAUGCAAAGAAACUAUUAUUCUCUACAUCCAAAGAUGCCUGAACUAAUAUGAUUCUGAUUCAUUGUCCGUUCUGCCCAGGGCAUUGGCUUCCACCUAAGUAGCAAGCCGAUGUAGAGAGAAGAAAUGAGAAAAUAUCUGAGGAAAAUGAAGCAAAGUCUGCUCUACUUCUGAACUUUCAGGACAUUCAAGAUUGGUUUAACUGGAAGCCAUGGGAGGUGAUGCUGAUUAGUUUACAUAAAGAAGGAUUUAUGCAAUGCCAUUGAAUGAGCUCCUAAAAUCAAAGGCAAACUUAUCUCUGGAGUUCAAAGACCAGGAGCAGAUGUCAAACAAGGGACCUCUUCAAAGAAACUGGAAGACUGCCAGCUUCUAAGAUUAGUACUGCCACUACAAUAAUUCUGCCACGUUCAGAGUUGGGCUGAAUCCAGAGGCUACUUCUCUAAUUGAAGGGUCCUAGUAUGGCUCCCUAAGUUCUUUAAUUUACUUUCCAUCAGCUGUUCCUCAGCAUGCAGGCUUUUCCAGCCACUGCUGGAUUGCUUGUACUGCUUCCUAUAUGCAAGAGUCAACAUUCUUAGUGAAUAAUAGAAAGGAAUGAAUGGUAAUAAGUUCAGGGAAAUUAGUUGCUAGAUCAUGAUGAGACUUCUUGUUUAUUUUGUUCUCUGUGUUUGUCGUACCCACCUAAAUUAGGUGACCCCCUUCUGUACCUGGCUCUCUUGCCUGUAUUAUCUAUCUUCCUCAGCAAAGUAUCCUCUGUGUUGAAUGGACCAUCAAAUAAAUGUUAGAAGAAAAGACACUUAAUUGUCUAUUUAUAGGCAAAUUUAACUGAUUAGAAUUAUGCUUCAACCUGCUAUUUUGGGGUUUGUAGUUAAUUCUUAAUUCUCUUUUUAAAAUAAAAAUUACUAGGUAAAAAGUUAAAUGACUUUUGUCUUCCUUUUUUUCUAGCUUAUGUUAUUCCCCUGAGCUUCAUCUUUAGGCCAUUCUUCAGGUCAGGUUUAUUGGCUUCAUAAUAUUUUUGUCAUUUGUUUCAUCUCCCUGGAAAUUUAUUUAGUAAGAUCCAUUGUUCAUAUUUUAGAUCUCUGUGCAAUGUUCACAACGUUUCUGAUCACAGUUUAAUUAAACUUUUGUCAC
Molecule: long non-coding RNA, 1348 nt
Filed under: Macaca mulatta (Rhesus monkey)
Lineage: Eukaryota; Metazoa; Chordata; Mammalia; Primates; Cercopithecidae
Description: lncRNA (ENSMMUG00000053864.1)
Source: RNAcentral